RNAcentral lists this ribosomal RNA (355 nucleotides) under Halomicronema sp. K79. RNAcentral's name for it is "bacterial SSU rRNA". It matches the Rfam family "Bacterial small subunit ribosomal RNA", at positions 413 to 785 of the family's 1533-position model. The record is from RNAcentral. Lineage: Bacteria; Bacillati; Cyanobacteriota; Cyanophyceae; Nodosilineales; Nodosilineaceae.
UGCCUAAUGGUUGUAAACCUCUUUUCUCUAGGAAGAUGAUGACGGUACUAGAGGAAUCAGCCUCGGCUAACUCCGUGCCAGCAGCCGCGGUAAUACGGAGGAGGCAAGCGUUAUCCGGAAUUAUUGGGCGUAAAGCGUCCGUAGGUGGCAGAACAAGUCAGUUGUUAAAGAGCGGGGCUUAACCCCGUAGAGGCGAUUGAAACUGUUUAGCUAGAGUGUGGUAGGGGUUACGGGAAUUCCCAGUGUAGCGGUGAAAUGCGUAGAUAUUGGGAAGAACACCGGUGGCGAAAGCGCGUAACUGGGCCUGCACUGACACUGAGGGACGAAAGCCAGGGGAGCGAAUGGGAUUAGAUAC